RNAcentral lists this unclassified non-coding RNA (379 nucleotides) under uncultured Gemmatimonadaceae bacterium. RNAcentral's name for it is "contains 16S-23S intergenic spacer region". Lineage: Bacteria; Pseudomonadati; Gemmatimonadota; Gemmatimonadia; Gemmatimonadales; Gemmatimonadaceae. The record is from RNAcentral.
UCCGGUUUGGCACCGGCAGUCCCCCUAGAGUGCCCGGCUCUCCCGCUGGUAACUAGGGGCGGGGGUUGCGCUCGUUGCGGGACUUAACCCAACAUCUCACGACACGAGCUGACGACAGCCAUGCAGCACCUGUGCUUAAGCUCCGAAGAGGGGGCCCCGUUUCUGGGGCCUUACUUAAGCAUGUCAAGCCCAGGUAAGGUUCUUCGCGUUGCGUCGAAUUAAACCACAUGCUCCACCGCUUGUGCGGGCCCCCGUCAAUUCCUUUGAGUUUCAGCCUUGCGGCCGUACUCCCCAGGCGGGGCACUUAAUGCGUUAGCGCCGGCACCCCGGGGGUCGCUCCCCGGGGCACCUAGUGCCCAUCGUUUACGGCGUGGACUAC